RNAcentral lists this transfer RNA (67 nucleotides) under Megacampsomeris sp. 1 YJY-2023a. Its description in RNAcentral is "tRNA-Asn". Lineage: Eukaryota; Metazoa; Arthropoda; Insecta; Hymenoptera; Scoliidae. The record is from RNAcentral.
UCAAUUAAAGUCAAAAAGAGACAUUUUAUUGUUAAUAAAAAAACUGAAUAUUAAUAUUCUAAUUGAG